Molecule: long non-coding RNA, 1598 nt
Organism: Passer domesticus (house sparrow)
Lineage: Eukaryota; Metazoa; Chordata; Aves; Passeriformes; Passeridae
Exons: 3
Source: RefSeq, a predicted model, not a curated record
GCGCCUCAGCAGGAGGCAGCAGUGAUCAGCAGGAAGGCGAAGUAAGAAAAGAGGGACUCUUCUCGGGGACAAAGUCCAGAGUUUAAUGUCUCCAGGGCCAUCCAGCCGAGUCGGGACCACGAGGUGGGGGUACAGCCGAUUAUAAAGGGGGCGGAACAUACAACACUUCAACCAAUGAGGGAGAACUUGGGAGGGAACAAACUUGUGACAAACAUGCUGGCUAGCCAAUAGGGAAUGUGAUAGGGAGGGACCCUUGUUCCCGAUCCAAUCACCCACCGAGGAGGGGAGAACUUUCUGGAAAGAGGGAAGGGGACAGUGGGUGAUGGACAGGAACUCAGGGAGGUAUUGACAGAGGGUAACCAGGGGAACAGGGGUGGAGACAAUGAACUGACACUCUCAAAAGGAGGGGUUGCCAGGGGAGGAGGGGGGGGAACCCUAGGACCGAACCGUUAUAACUUUAGGGGGAAACAGAACAAACCAAAUGAACCAUGCACCACAACAAGUGUAUGUGAUCAGUCAUUAAACUCCUCUGGGAGUUCUCAGUUCAGUGUUCAUGUUCUCAUGUCACAGAUUUCAUGCACAAAGCAGACAGAAAUUAUUAUUUUUUUCCAGCUGAAAUCUCUCACAUUCCAUAUACAGUCAAAAUCAGCAAAACAGUAAGACAUACAACAGAACUUAUUUCCACCUUAGCUACAAGGAAUAUAUAUCAGGAAUAUUUAAAAUGUUUUGCAGCACAACACACACUGUUGUAGUUUCUGCACACUUUAUGGCAAUUUAGCAAGUUACAAACCCAUGAAUGUUCCUAAUCUACCCAAAACAAAUUUUUAUUUUCCAUGAACCUAAUAUAUCAUCACAGACUUUCUAUAUAUCCAGAUGAAACCUCCCACUUUCAUCCUUCUUGCAGAUUUCUAACUUCCAUGCAGAAACCUGUGUGCUUCUGCAGAUACGUCAGACAUGUUCCAUUGGUCAGCACUGAUGGCUGAAGUCUCAGGUGCAGAGAGAGGGAGAAAGGACUAUCCAGAGCCCAAGGAAUGGCAGUGCUGGAACAGAGGUGACAAGGAUGUGCAUCUCUCUCCCUGGGCUGCGCACGCAUCUUUAUUUCAUGCUCCAGUUGACCUGGAUAUGCAAGAACUAUGCACCUUCUGCUGCUUAAAAUUGAACUACACACCACAAUAUCUGCCUGAUGGGAGAAUGGCAAUAGGAGACAGGGCAAAGAGACAUGAAGAGGAUUCAAGUCCUCUGGCAGCAUUUUGUUAAACAUGUUUCUGCCUUUUUCAAAGAGGGAACAUAAGGUGUGUUCUCAGAAAUUUCCCAGUGCCCCCACCUGAGGCACUGGGAAAGGGGACUGCACUUUCUAGUAGGAAAGGUCAAUAUGAACCUGUCUGAAGAUGAAAAGUGACAGGUGUGAUCACUCAGUGUCCAGACAUGCCCAUGCAGCACCUCACAUGGAAUUAUCUGCAGCAGCCCAUGCGUGCCCAGCACACUGCAUGUGAGGGACACAGAAACCAGGGCAGCUCAGGAGCAAGAGUUUGGCCCUUCUUGUGCCACCAUGUGACAACGCACAACUGCUCUCACCCUGCCCAGAGAAUAGGUAUUAA